UAGACGAAGGGAAGAAGAGGGAGGGGAUGGUGAGAGAGAAAAAGAGAGAGACACUGAGGCCUAAGAAGCAGGCAUUAGAGUGAGAGAAUAAGUGAUAAAUAGAGAGAAAUUAAAAGAAAAAAAGAAGCCUAUUUCGUUCAACUCGCUAGAAAAUUUCAUCGCAUUGUCUCUUCUGUUCAUGUUCUAGCAUUCUCUCUUCCAUUUCUCUUAUCAGAAGCGGUUUCCAAUGAGUCGUUUAGGGUUUAAAUCCGUGGUCUAUCACGGUGACCUUUGUUUGGGAGAACUGGACGCUAUUCCGGUGACAGACAAGACUUUCCAGUUCCCAAACAACGAGAUACGAAUCCACCGCAUCUCGCAAAGUGGGCGUUGCCCUCCUCUUUCAAUUCUGCAAACUAUUUCUUCGUUUUCCGUUCGCUUUAAGCUUGAAUCUUCUUCUCCACACGAGCAGUCCCAUUUGAUCAACCUUCACGCUGUUUGCUUCCAUGAAUUCAAGACGGCAGUGGUUUUGAUUGGAGAUGAGGAGAUACACUUAGUGGCAAUGCCGAGUAAGCUGAAGAAGUUUCCGUGCUUUUGGUGCUUUCCAGUUCCUGUAGGUCUUUUUGAUUCGUGCUUGGGCAUGCUCAAUUUGCGGUGUCUAGCUAUUGUGUUUGACCUUGAUGAGACCCUUAUAGUCGCUAACACUAUGAAGUCAUUUGAGGAUAGAAUUGAGACUCUUAGGACUUGGAUUGCACGCGAGACUGAUCCACUGAGGCUAUCUGGAAUGUCUGCUGAGUUGAAGCGGUAUAUGGAGGAUCGAAUGCUAUUGAAGCAAUACACUGACAGCGAUUAUGUUAUGGAUAAUGGAAAAAUGUUUAAGGUUCAACUAGAGGAGGUUCCACUACUCUCUGAAACCCACGAGAGACUUGUUAGGCCUGUGAUUAGAUUGCAAGAUAGGAAUAUUGUCCUCACUCGUAUCAAUCCUGAGAUUCGUGAUACUAGUGUACUUGUGAGGUUGAGGCCUGCAUGGGAGGAUUUACGAAGUUAUUUAACUGCAAAAGGACGCAAACGAUUUGAAGUUUAUGUUUGUACAAUGGCUGAAAGAGAUUAUGCCUUAGAAAUGUGGAGGCUUCUUGACCCAGAGUCACACCUGAUAUCUGCUAAACAACUGCCGGACCGUGUUGUUUGUGUUAGAUCAGGCUCCAGGAAAUCUUUGUCUAAUGUCUUCCAAGAUGGCAUGUGCCAUCCAAAGAUGGCAAUGGUAAUUGAUGAUCGGUCAAAGGUCUGGGAAGACAAGGAUCAACCACGAGUUCAUGUAGUUCCUGCAUUCACACCUUACUACGCUCCUCAGGCAGAGACAGCAAAUGCCGUUCCUAUCCUCUGUGUGGCGAGAAAUGUUGCUUGCAACGUCAGGGGUUGUUUUUUCAAAGAAUUUGAUGAGAAUUUAAUACGAAGAAUCUCUGAAGUCUUUUAUGAAGAUGAUGCUAGUAAUUUACCUCAUGCUCCUGAUGUGAGCAACUACAUGAUGUCAGAGGAUGCCGGUUUUGUACCCAACGGUUUUAAUAAUGCUCCCAUUAAUGAAGGCAUGAGUGGUGUUGAAGUUGAACAGAGAUUGAACCCAUUGGAUGAGAAGAAUGUUAUUAACCCAACUGGCCAUUGUAUGACAAAUAGUCUUGAGUUGAGAUCUGAAAUCUCCCAGUCACCUAUUGCAAUAAUUCCUAAUGUCGCUGGACCAAUGUCUUCGACAACACUCAUUCCUUCACAGAAACCUAGUUUGCUUGGAGCACCUGUGAGACGAGAUUUAAGAAAUCAAAAUUCAGGUCAGCCACCACUUCUGUCUAGGGUACCUGUGCCAAUACCAUCAUCCUCGGUACCUGCGCCAAUACCAUCAUCCUCGAUACCUGCACCAAUGCCAUCAUCCUCGGUACCUGUGCCAAUACCAUCAUCCUUGGUACCUGUGCCAAUACCAUCAUCCUUGGUACCUGCGCCAAUGCCAUCAUCCUCUAUACAGCCACAGGGAGGCUGGCUGAUGGAGGAAGAUAGCACCACAGCACAUCUAAAUAAUCGACCUUUAGGAUUUGCCAAGGAAAGUGAUUUGGUAAAACUUGAUAAACUGCGAUUAAUUCAGAAUCCAUUUUCUCAUAGUCCAACAGUGUCUACUUCCACAAGUUUAGUCUCACAUGCAUCACAAGUGAGGGGUGAAGAGGCAUUUGCUGGACAUGACAUGCAAAAACAAAGUCUUCCUCCUGGAAGUCAUCCAUCAGAGGUUGGCAUUUCUCAGAAUCCUGUAUCAUCUAAUAGUAAUAGCAGAGAUUUUCAACCUGAAGCUGUGAAAUUGAAUCUUCUACCAUCCCACUUGUCUAUUGGAGUGCUGCAAGAAAUUGGACGAAGAUGCAACUCAAAGGUGCAGGUUGAGUUCAGGUCUGUUGUAAGCACCAGUAAGGAUUUGCAAUUUUCUGUUGAGGUUUUGUUCACUGGUGAAAAGAUAGGUGUUGGAAUGGGUAAGACCAGGAAGGAUGCACAUCAGCAAGCUGCUGAGAAUGCCCUUCACAGCUUGGCAGAAAAAUAUGUUGCAUAUGUCGCACCUCAUUCUGGAGCUGUAGACCAUGAUUUCGAUAAGCUUUCCCUUGGGAAUGAGAAUGGAUUUCUAUGGGACAUUGUCAAUCCUGGAACAAGUGACGUCGUGCCAGAAGAUGGAUUGCCUAAAGAAUGUACUCCUGAGGAUACUGAAGUUGAACCUGCAAUAACUUCGUCUAAUUUUGUCAAUCAGCAACAACAGAAGCGUGCCAACUCCCCUCGAUUGCUACAGUCUGUUCCGAGUAAAAGAACAAAGGAAGAAUUAGCGCGUGGUUCGCAAAGUCUUCCAUUUUCACGGCAGCAGAAGAAUGGAAAUCAUGUUUCAUGAAAGCAAUGAAAAAAGAAGUGGUGACUGACUGAAGGUUUUUUGAGUUCUACAAUUCUGCAAUAUUUUAUUUAUGCAGAUUCUACGUAAUUGCAGUUAGCUUAGCUUCAACAUUUCGAAGGAAGUAACUGAGGGGAAUGCUGCCGUAUGCCUGCAACGAAGCAUGCCAAAAAAUAAAAAGAGAAAAUAUGACUGGCUGCCUAAAUUUCCAAUACAAAGGGCUUGCCAUCGAGCAACAUUUUUCCCCAUUAACAUCGUGGCAUGUGCUCUACCUCUACGCACUUUUAAUCAUCACCAGUAUGAUUGCUCCUCUACCAGACAUUUGAACGUGACAAUAUAUAUUCUCUGAAGUAUCUUGUCAUGCUAGAAAAUUCUUGUUUAUGAUAAUACAAUGUAUCACCCACUACACUGAUAUGGGAUGGGCUCACAUACAAGACAAUCUGAAAUUUCUGCAUUCUUUAAUUUCAGUGCAGAAAGAUAGCCUACUGAGAUCAGAGAUAGUUUCCUGUUGGUUAUAUACAUUUUCUUGAUUCCAUCCGA
Hevea brasiliensis (rubber tree) is the source of this 3418-nucleotide RNA transcript. It is a transcript of the gene named RNA polymerase II C-terminal domain phosphatase-like 2, with no coding region annotated. The record is from RefSeq and is a predicted model, not a curated record. The transcript has 17 exons. Lineage: Eukaryota; Viridiplantae; Streptophyta; Magnoliopsida; Malpighiales; Euphorbiaceae.